Molecule: ribosomal RNA, 330 nt
Filed under: Triticum aestivum (bread wheat)
Lineage: Eukaryota; Viridiplantae; Streptophyta; Magnoliopsida; Poales; Poaceae
Description: partial small subunit ribosomal RNA
Source: RNAcentral
AUGGAAGUUCUUACUAAACCGACGAACCAAAUGAUCUUGCCUGCUGCCUGCAGAUCUACACAUAACAGGGAAGAACUAUGUGUCAAGGAAAUAUGUAGAAAAAAACAUAUGCUGCACAACCCAUAUAUGCUACACGACAUAGAACACAUACCGCUGCUCUGGCAGCAGCCCCAAUCCACAGGCAGAACAUCAAAGAGCAGACAAAGAAUUAAAGGAGAAAGGAAGAAAAGCAAACCCCAUGUAAAGAAAAGGAAUAAUAUGACGCGGACUCCCGUGAGCUAUGCAAAAUUUGUGCUCUUGUACAACAUAAUUUGUUGUAUUUUUCUUUAA